This 7054-nucleotide long non-coding RNA is filed under the name Homo sapiens (human). RNAcentral describes it as "non-protein coding lnc-VSTM2B-5:12". Lineage: Eukaryota; Metazoa; Chordata; Mammalia; Primates; Hominidae. The record is from RNAcentral.
AGUCCUGCAGGGCGGGGCAAACUUGGAGAGGCGCUGCGUCGGGGGACGGGGCUACAAGCCGUCGCUGGGGGCGGGGCUUGCGGCCCACCUGUAGGUCCCGGUGCCACCUCGUCAGUGUCCCGAGAGAUCCCCAGAAGAACGAGAGGGCUGAACAGGGGACCCCACUGACGUCCGGUGGGCCGACUUUACGAUCCUUUAGGAUGAAGAAACUAAGACUCAGAGAAGACAAAUGACAUGCCCAAAGACACAUUGAUAAGAACGCAUCUGGUAGUGGUGUUCGAGUCCAGCGUUGCAGCAGAGAGAUGGGUAACUGUAUGGCCGAACAGCUGUCUUCUCGUGGAAGAAGGAGGCCAAUGUCCAGGAGUGGCAGGCAUACUGGAACUUGGACUUCUGUAGGCCAACCUGGGUUCCACUUGGUAGAUGGGGGUCUUGCUGUGUUGCCCAGGCUGGUCUCAAACUCCUGGCCUGAAGCAGUCCUCCUCCCUUAGCCUCCAGAGUAGCUGGGACUACAGGUACACACCACUGCAACCCCUCAGUGGUUGUUAUUUAACUGAAGGGGGUUUUAGCUUUCAUGUAUCAGCUCACUCUGGAGCCAGACAGCCUGGCCUUCAUGGCAGCUCUGCCCCUUACUACCUGUGUGACAUCGGGCAACGUUACUGAGUGUCAGAUUUCUUAUUUGUAAAACAGGGAUAAAAAUGACAUUGCUGUGCAAAUUAAAAGAAAGAAUCCAUGUGAGAUAUUUAGCACACUGGCAUACAAUGAGAGCUUAAUAAACAUUGUUAGUUUUGUAAACUGAGGGAAAAAAAUAGCCACAGGCCUGGGAACAUAAAUGCUUGGUAAGCUUCUCAGUUCCCUGGAAGUCUGACACGCAAUGUGUAUGUAUGAACAAGGCAGGAGGAAGCAUGACACCAAGCCUUCCUUUUAACAAACACUGUUUAAAUCAGAGGUCGGAAGUCAUGGACUGGAGAUUCAUUCUCUCCCCACUCAUUUCUGCCCAGAGACACCUGGUGAUCUGGCAUACACAGUGCUAUGAACCUCAGAAUUAUUUGCUAGCAUUUACAAAUUGUGAGUACUCCCACAUACAAACUGUGGUAGAUGGAAUAAUGCCUCCCCACAAAAAUGUCCACAGCCUAAUCCCUGGAACCUGGGAAUAUGUUACUUUACACAGCAAAGGAAUGUUGCAGCUGUGAUUGGAGAUUGAGAUAGGGAGAGUGUAUUAGUCUGUUGUCAUGCGGCUAUGAAGAAAUACCUGAGACUGGGUAAUUUACAAAGAAAAGAGGUUUAAUUCACUUACAGCUCAGCACGGCUGGUUGGGGGGGCGCCCUCAGGAAAUUUACAAUCAUGGUAGGAGGCACCUCUUCACAGGGUGGCAGGAGAGAAAAUAAGAGCAGAGCGAAGGGGGAACCCCUUAUAAAACUGUCAGAUCUCAUGAGAACUCACUGUCAUGAGAACAGCAUGGGGGAAACCGCCCCCAUGAUCCAUCACCUCCACCUGGUCCCCCCCUUGUUACAAUUCAAGGGGAUUGUAACAAUUCAAGGUGAGAUCUGGGUGGGGACACAGAGCCAAACCAUAUCAGAGAGUCUUCCUGCAGUGUCCGGGUGGGUGCGGCAUGUUCAUAGGGUCUUAGAAGAGGGAAGCAAGAGGUGAGAGGACAGAAAUGCCACAUUGCUGGCUUUGAGGGUGGGGCCAGAGGAGGGACCUGCAGGCAGAGAUAGAGCUGGAAAUGGAAAGGAAACCUUCUCCCUUAGAGUCUCCAGAAGAAGUGCAGCCCUACAGACCUGUGUUAGGCUUCAGACCUCCAGAAUUGUAAAAUAAUAAAAUUGCAUUAUUUUAAGCCACUCGAGGCCCAUGUCCUCAACAAAGAGAAAGACGGUGGGGUGCUGUCAGCCAGGGUAGGUACCUGCUUGGUGGUCUGGGUCCUUUCCCACUGUGUCCAUUCAGUUACAUUACCUGCCCAUCUGCUGAGGCCUCGAGUUUGGGACCUCAGGUUUAUAUAAUUCCUUGCACAAGCAUGAUCGAUUGAUUCCGGAGAGUAGCAGAACACUGAUAUGCAGGGGAAUCUCCUAGUUCCAAGUGUGAGUUGUAGUCUAGACACUUCCUGUUCCCUACAGUCUUUUUUUUUUUUUUUUUUUUUUUUGAGACAAAGUUUUGCUCUGUUGCCCAGGCUGGAGUGCAGUGGUGUGAUCUCGGCUCACUGCAACCUCUGCCUCCUGGGUUCAAGCAAUUCUGCCUCAGCCUCCCGAAUAGCUGGGAUCACAGGCACAUGCCACCAUGCCCAGCUAAUUUUUGUAUUUUUAGUAGAGUUAGGGUUUCGCCAUGUUGGCCAGGGUGAUCUCAAACUCUUGACCUCACAUGAUCCGCCCGCCACAGCCUCCCAAAGUGCUGGGAUUACAGGCGCAAACCACCGCCCCCAGCCCUCUUCCCUACUGCCUUGAUGUGUUCAUCUGGGCAAUGUGUGUUGAGGGGGCAUAGGGAGGGGAGCUCUAAGGCAAAUGUGCUGGGAUUCUGCAUUCGUCAUCCUCAAAACAAAAUUGGUCCCUAGGUAGUUCUGCCUGUGAUCCUGCAUAAUGUGCAAAGCCAGUAAGAUGCCUUUGCCUCAUCCCCAGGGAACAUGCCUCCCAGCCACUUUCAUCUCACCUAGUGCCUACACAGAAAGGCAACCGCCUCCCUGCUGAAGGGACCCCACGCCUGUCUCCUGUUUCCACACAAUUACCCCGGGAAAUGCCUGGCUUCCCAUUUCCAGUUGCAGCCAUCUUGACAGUUUCAGCCUCUCCCCACAGCCCACGUCCCUCACUUGAGCAGCGAGAUGUGAAGACAGACAGCCGCUUGAGAACUGCACAGACUGUCCUUAAUCUAAGCCAUUUAAAAGGCAUUUGUGUUCCAUAAAACCCGUUUCUGUAAUUCUGUGCCCCUACUUCUUUGAAAGAUGAUAACCCUAGGGAGGAGAUUAGCCAGGGAGGAGAAGUUCAGAUGUGCUAAUAUUUUAAUCGCUCAUUCUUUCAUCACAUUAGUCACAUUCAUUAAGUAUGAUUAAUUUCAGGCUUUGUUGAAAACCCUAUCAGUUUCCCUAUCAGCCACACAUCCAUCUCUUGCCAAGCAGGCUGGUGCAGUAGCACCAAAAGUCCCCCAGUGUUUUUUACACCUGGAUUGUAUUAUGUGCCCCCUGAAAAUGUGUGGAAUUAAUUGAGCUCAUUUGUUUCAAAUACUUUGCAAGAGCCUGGGCUCUUGAGUCAGGCGGCCUAAGUGUGAUCCUAAGUCCUCCCAUUGCUGGAGUCACCUGGGCAAGUGACUGACGCCCUCUGAGCCCUGGUGUCCUCGUCUGAGGAUGGAGAUAAGAAUACCUAACUCGAAAGUUGGUUGUGAAGAUGAAAGAAGGCUUUCAAAUUGCUAAGUUAGUUGGUUAUGAUUGUAAUUAAGGGCCCUUGGAGAUGGAUCAUUCAUCCAUUCAUUCAUCCAUUCAGAAGAUUUGUGUACAGUGACUACUGUAUGCAACCCUGUGUGUCCACUGCUGAUGAGAGAGACAGCAGCAAACACAGCAGUCAAAUGCGUGUGGCCCCCAGGACCUUAUAUUUUAGUGGUGGAAGCUAGACAACCACCAAACAUGUAAUAUACCAGAUGGUGGUACGUUCUAUGGAGGAAAGAAAGGACGAGGGGCAGGGAGUCCUGGGCUGGUGGGACAGGGUGCUAUGGCUCAGAGGGAACUCAGAGAUCACCUAAUUCAGGCCCUGACCUGGAGGGCUCAUGCUUUGCACACUGUGCUAAGAAUUUGGACUUUCUUUCUCCAAGAAUAAGGACAAUGAGAGCCAGCAAGCAGGGAAGUGGAGCAAGGAUGGUGCCGUCCGGCUGCUCAGCUGCUGGCUGGAACUCCCGGAGGACUCUGUGAGGAUGCAGGUAGAAGGUGUGUAAGCAUGUGACUGCAUGGAAGCCCUCGGCAUGUGAUCCACUCCGUGUUCCAAAUUGCCAUCCUUUCUGCGUGCUGUUAGGGACUUCCCCCAGCUCUCCCUGCAGAGUGAGGAGUACUCUGAGACAGACGGGUCUAGGAUGAACUGUGUUGAUGGAGAAAUGAACAUUUUUUGGAGGGAAGGAAGAUUUCGGGGUGUGGGGCAUAAGUUGAAGGAGUAUGGCUCUGAAAGUCCUUGGGCAGUUUGUAGAGGACAGAGAAGGUGGUAAUGUCAGUUUCUGCCCCUCUCCCACCUCCACCUCUGGCCUUCUCAGUGGUCCUAUGGCUCCCUACCUUCAGUCAUCUUGUUCUCAAGCCUGAAGUGCUGGAUCCACUCAGCUGCAACCCAGCUCAACACCUCUGUGGAAGCUUUGCCCAUCAAUCAGGAGAAGCUGAGAUCCAGAGACUGAUGCCCACGUUCUGUCUUUGCAGAGGGAAGCCCACCAGAGCCCUCUUCUCUCUGGGGAGGAGCUGGCUCCCUGAAUCUCCAAGACAAACCCAGACAGCCCUGGGGACCUUGAAUGUGAGCAAGGGGAGCAGAAAGGAGGCUCCAGCCCACCCAGGGCCCCUGCAGGGUCUGCACACACAAUUACAGGUCCUCAUUUCCCUCUCCUAAUGAUGCCCCAAAACAUUAAGGGAAGUUAAAUCAAACCACCAGGUGUCCAGCAUGAACAGCUGAAAUAAUAAAUUCACGAGAUUUGAAUCCAAAUAACUGAUGAUUUGUUCCAUGAAUGCCAGAGCUGGAAGGGAUGGGGUUGGCAGAAGAGACAAGACUGGACCAUGGACCUGGUGGUUCUGUGCAGAGGCCAAAGCUACUCUCCUUCCCACCUGGCCCUGUGCUGGGCCUAACCUGGAGCCCCCUCUAUCCUCUGCCUCAUUCUUCUCCGGGUCAAGGUCCAGCAUGAACUCCAUGUCCUCCAGGAAGCCCUGGUGGACUUGGGCAGACCUGGGGACACGUCCAGCCUCCUGGCAAGAUGGGGGUAACAGGAGUGUGUAUAAAGGGGAAGGCAAGAAUGUGCCCUUGGUGGAGCAGUGAAAAGAAGCCCUCAUGUGACAAGUGUUUUGCUCCUAACCCACCUCCUCUGGUGACAUCUUCUGGGUUAACUGCUCUUGCUGAUCUCUGCACAUAAACCAAGCUAACUGUGAGAGGCCUUUCAUUUCUAGUUUAAAGCAAGGAGACCACAGUUCCUUCUGAACACUCACCCCCAAGGAGAUAAGGAGGGCGUCCCAUGAGCAACACUGUGUGUUAAAGAUGUACACGAGCACUGGGACCUGACCAAGGACAAACACGUCUCCAGCCCCCUCAGACCCUUGCUGCUGCUCAGAUGUCCGCUGUCAUCGGUCACAUCCUAACCUCAACCCCCUCUCUCCUCCCACAUAAAAGGAGGCUGAAAUUCAUAGUAACUUCAGAUGGUUCUUUAGGACACUGGCCCACCACCUUCUCGGUUGCUGGCUCUCCAAAACAAAGCCCCCUCCCUUGACCCAAUUCCUUGUUUCUUGACGUACUGGCUGUUGUGCAGUGCAUGGUACCGGCUUGAACUCGGUUAUGUUGGCAUGGCCUCUGGCGGUGCUCAGUUUGUGUGGAUGAGUAUUUUACAGCUACUGUCCUAUUUCCAGUCCCCUUCCUCUGGACGGCUAUGGGAUGUGCUGUGGAUGCCCUCUCUUAGGCUGGAAUAAACCACCCUACCUUCUCCUCUGCCUUGUCUCCACCAAAUAAACUCCUUAAGGCAGGGAUAGAGUCUUGCACUCCACGAAGAAGUAUUGCUGCAUCCUCAGCUGUGUAAGAGUGACCGGGCUUCUUCUAUUCCACCUGUAAUGGAACUUUAGGCACGCAGAGAGAGAUGGCAAAUUUGUGCUGGCUGAAGGGGUCAGCAAAUGCAUAUAAGGCUUCUUGUGCUCCAGAGAGAGAAUGGAGUGCAGUCAGUGAGACCCUGAGGGGAGAAGGAACCAAAAGCCUGGGCAGAAGGGAUCGUGGAGGUGCCCAGGGUCAGGAGGGAUGGGAAGGGUGAGGAACACAAGAGAUCACCUGGAGGCAUUAGAGGAGAAGGCAGGCACUGGGGAUGGUGCCGCUGAUCCAGGUGGAGCAACAUCCUAGGACCCGAGUGCUGGGCAGGUGCAUCCGUGGAGGGAAGCUUCUCUCCUCUCUCGGCUCCUGCUGAGAGAGGCAAUCAUUCCCCUGGCUUGCCCUGCAAGAGACAGGAGCUCUAGGUAGAUCUCUGCUAUCUAGGGAAUAGAAUGUGAAUAUUUGAAAGUUCUAGAGGUCAAGUCUUAGGUUCCCUCUCAGCUCAGAUCCCAAAUGGUACACUCUACCCUAACCCCCUUUUCUUGUAGCUUUGCUACAUGGAGAGGAAAAUACCUUGCCAGACACCAACAGUCCCUUCUCAGCACUUUUGUGUGAAGACAACUCAGACCCUAAGAGAAUGGGGUCUAAUUUGCAGGUGCCACUGGAAGGCAGAGGUCACGGGAGCCCUGGACUUCAGACAAGGUAGAGGGAUCCUGGAGACAGCACAUCUGGCCCUGGAGCCCUGCCCACCCGGGGAGUGAGGGCAGCUCUCCUGCUCUCCUAGGAGGCCUGCCCGAGGACCCCCAUGUCCUCUAUGUGUGGGAUUCUGCAGUUUGCACUCACAACCCAGAGCCUUUUACCCAACUACCCUGUUUGUAGGAAUGUGUCCAAAAUAAGCAUCAGACAAGUACAUGAAGAUGAAUGUGCAAAGACGUUCAUAACAGGAUUGUUUAUAAUCAUGAAAAAUGAUCUGCAGAUUUCCUGUCUGCUGUGCAGGAUGAGUUAGACGGGGAUGCAUCCAUAAAAUCACUUUGCCCUCAUUUAAAAUUAUAUCAUAGAUCUAUGUUUAAUGACAUAGUAAACGGUACUCAAUGCAUUAAGUGAAAAAAGCAUAUACAUAUCAGGAUGUAUAUGAUCAAGUUUUUGUUAAAUGGAUGCAUGUAUGCAUGUCAGUAACUGUCUGUGUUUGCAAACAAAACGUCUAGCAAGACGUGCAUCAAAUAUUAACAAUCAUUAUCUUUGGAUUCUGGAUUUAUUGACUUCUAUUUUUGACUUUGCCCUUUGUUUUUCUAUGUUAUCUGACACUUUUACACUGAGUUUAUAUUAUUUUU